AGAGUUUGAUCCUGGCUCAGAACGAACGCUGGCGGCAGGCCUAACACAUGCAAGUCGAGCGGACCGCAAGGUCAGCGGCGGACGGGUUAGUAACGCGUGGGAACGUGCCCAAAGGUACGGAAUAGCCUCGGGAAACUGAGAGUAAUACCGUAUGUGCCCUUCGGGGGAAAGAUUUAUCGCCUUUGGAUCGGCCCGCGUUGGAUUAGGUAGUUGGUGGGGUAAUGGCCUACCAAGCCGACGAUCCAUAGCUGGUUUGAGAGGAUGAUCAGCAACACUGGGACUGAGACACGGCCCAGACUCCUACGGGAGGCAGCAGUGGGGAAUCUUAGACAAUGGGGGAAACCCUGAUCUAGCCAUGCCGCGUGGACGAUGAAGGCCUUAGGGUUGUAAAGUCCUUUCAGCUGGGAAGAUAAUGACGGUACCAGCAGAAGAAGCCCCGGCUAACUCCGUGCCAGCAGCCGCGGUAAUACGGAGGGGGCUAGCGUUGUUCGGAAUUACUGGGCGUAAAGCGCGCGUAGGCGGACUUUUAAGUCGGGGGUGAAAUCCCGGGGCUCAACCCCGGAACUGCCUUCGAUACUGGGAGUCUGGAGUUCGAGAGAGGUGAGUGGAAUUCCGAGUGUAGAGGUGAAAUUCGUAGAUAUUCGGAGGAA
RNAcentral lists this ribosomal RNA (650 nucleotides) under uncultured bacterium. RNAcentral's name for it is "bacterial SSU rRNA". It matches the Rfam family "Bacterial small subunit ribosomal RNA", at positions 8 to 706 of the family's 1533-position model. The record is from RNAcentral.